Gasterosteus aculeatus aculeatus (three-spined stickleback) is the source of this 16172-nucleotide long non-coding RNA. NCBI's taxonomy places the organism in Eukaryota, Metazoa, Chordata, Actinopteri, Perciformes, Gasterosteidae. The record is from Ensembl.
UAACCAUGAGCAGUCCGGUAUCUCAAGUGCAGAGGCAGUGGAACUGCUGGCCACAAGAGGAGUUUAAUGCAGCCCAAUAGAGUGACAAAACACUAAACUGUCUUCUGUUCUUAAUGUUAAAGAUGCAAAGAGAAAGAAAGUGGCCUACCUCAUGGAUCAUGGUUUGCUGAUUCGCUGUUGGAGUGGCAAUGUCUUUGAUGGUGGAGACUGGAAUGCAACCUAUCAAGUUGUGGUCCUAGCGGCAUAUCGAUCUCAGGUACUGUCUCUGGCUCAUGACAAUCCGUGGGCUGGACUUCUAGGUAUCACGAAGACGUAUGAUAGUCCUUAGACAUUUCUUCUGGCCAGGACUCAAGUCUGAUGUGGUGCAAAUUGCCGCUUGUAACGUGUGCAAGGUAACUGGCAAACCAAACCAAGUGGUUUCUCCUGCCCCACUCUGUCCCAUACCCGUGAUGGGUGAGCCAUUUAAAAAAGUGAGACCAUUAUCAAAGACUAAAUCUGUCAACCAAUUUCUUCUAACUAUUAUGUGUAGAACUUAGUGUAUACUAGGUUCCCAGAGGCUGUUCCGCUACAGAAGAUCACAGCUCCAGUUCCAGCUCUUAUGAAGUUCUUUACGAUGUUUGGACUUCCUAAGGUGGUUCAGACCGAUAAAGGUACCAAUUUCACGUCCCAAGUCUUUUCCCAGGUACUUAAAACCUUAGGCAUUAAGCAUAUAAUUUCAAGCCCAUAUCAUCCUGAAAGCCAAAGGGCACUAGAAAGGUUUCAUCAGACCUUGAAGUCCAUGCGCAGGAAACACUGUUUUGAGAGUCGAAAGGACUGGGAUGAUGCUGUGCCAUUAGUUUUGUUUGCUGCUCGUGAAGCUGUACAGGAGUCACUCGGAUUUAGUCCUGCCAAACUAGUGUUAGUAGUGGACAUGAGGUCCGUGGCCCCUUAAAACUUCUAAAAGAACAACUUCUUUUGCCAGAAGGGAAGACGGUCCGUAGCAUCCCUGAGUAUGUUAGGAAACUCAGAGCUCGGCUUCAGAGCGCCUGCUCUUUGCCCAGAGAAUCUCUAUCCUCCUAUCAGGUGAAAAUAAAGAAAUCCACUGCCCACUCGUUUCAACCUGGUGACAAGGUUUUGAUUCUUUCUCCUAUCUCUGGUUCUGCUCUAUCUGCAAAAAUUUCCGGUCCCUUUGUUGUGGAGAAGAAAGUUAGUGACACUAACUUCAUCAUUUAAACUCCUGAUCGCAGAAACAGAUUGUGUCAUGUAAAUAUGAUCAAGUCAUAUUUUACAGCAGAAAAUGGAAGUGGAAACAAUAAUUCUGACAACAAAUGAAGAAAGAACUGCAGGGACAAAGGCAGUUAAUAUUAAUACUUAAAAAGUAAACAACAAAUGUAGGUUUGAAAAAGGUGGGGGGGGAGAGUGAAAUGUGGGGGUUGUACCAAACAAAAUAAGCAAAGUACAAUAAAAUAGGGCCUAGCUCAACACUGUGUGGAAAGGAAAAAGACAACAAAAGGCCUGACUAUCUUAUCUACCAAAGUGUCCAAAAGUAAUAGAAAUACAUUGGUGGCAACAACCGUCUCUGAGUGUAUGAAUGUACAGGGUACCCCAGCUUUAUCUCAGUACCAUUUCCCCACCACAAACCUUAAUGGACAAAGUCAGAGAGAGCGAGAGCAAAAAGAGAGAGAAGCUUUAAAUAGUGUCCUCCAUCUUUGAUUGCUGAAAUGGCUGGAGUGUGAGCCAAUCCACAGGAUGCUAUGGAGGCAGGGCCAGCCAAUCCUCCACCUCUCUCACCUGCAGGACAAGGGGAGGAGAGAGCAAGAGAGACACACGUUUACUUCUCUCUACACGUAACACCUUCAUAUGCAUUAUCUUUUUGGUUGUCUCUCACUCUUAAUCUGUCAUUCUGUCUCUCCACAGAAGGAUACUUUAACCACUGCUACAAGGGGCAUGGAAUACACACACACACACACUAUUACAGCAUGAAAAAUAAACAAGCCACUGCGACACACAUUACCUGGCUGGGCUUGAUGAAUGGGCCUAGUUUAAAUUAUUUUGUGCAGAUCUCAUUUAGGCCCUUGAAGAAGAGAUCCAGCCUCUUUAUUCAUUUCACAUUUGCACCCAGGCUUCAAUAUCUCCGUCCAUGCCUGCAAAGGACAUACCCUUCUCCCAUCCAAGAGGAGAAAUAAAAGCCUGUAAAGAAAAGAGACAGAGAGACAGGGAGGAGACAGAAAAAAGCAAUUUACACAAUGUACAUAACAUGAUGCACUCAGAGUUUGAUAACGUGCAUAAAUUAUAGAGUAUAAUUAAAUACUAUACCCCGUGAAUCACGAAAGAGAAGAUGGGUGGAGAACAGACAAGAGAAUAAAAGCAGGGAGUGUGAAGAGAAAGAGAAAAAACAUGAGAAAGAGCGUGUUUGUGCUAGAUCUCAUAAUUAUUUCUAUUGAUUAUUUCUUAAAGGUAAAAUAGUUCUAAGGUAAAUAUGAACAGUCAGGUGAGGGACAGGUAGGAAUCAGGGGAAUAUAUAUCAGGGCCCGUAUAUAUUAAAUGGAAUAUUACAAGUUUAGCAAAGGGUAGGCGUGUAGGCCAUUUCUGGUGAGCACACAAUUGACCUAAGAAUAUAUUCAAAUUAGCAAAGCGCACUCACAGAGAGGGUAGUAAGUUUGUGUGUGUGUGUGUGUGUGUAUUUAAGUGUGUGUGUGUGUGUGUCUCUGCUGAAGAAAACUGUCUUUGUUCACUCCCUUUUUCCUCUUUGACCCGAGAGACAGCGAGAGACAUACAGAUGAAAAGACAGAAAUAUAAAAAAGGAAAAGUUAAUAUACGUACCAGACAAACUUUUGACUGUUCCUGUGAGGUCGAUAUAACAGCUGCCAUUCUUAAUGUGGAAUGGAGAUGAAUCAAGACGGAGGUUUCACUUUACUACUGGGACGAUUGGACGAAAUGUCAUGCCAUUCGUUAACUGGGAGCUGUACAUAUUUAAAUAUAUAAUCUUGAAUAACAAAUCAAAUCUUGAUUGUCCUGAAAUCCCAAAUUAAAGGUUGUAAUGGAGGGACAUAUGAUAAAUAACAAUCCAAGGUGCUACUCGCCAUCCUAGCUCCUUUUUGGGGACUCGUGUCAUUUUUAAACCAUGCUUUUGUUCACCAAGUUGGGACUUGGCUGACCAUUAUAGUGGUGUCAGGUAAUCAUUCCGGCUCAUAUUGGAUCCUUUUUUCCGGAACUUAACAGAUUGCCAUUAAGUAAAUAAAAAACAUUUUGCUUUCUAUUGAUUUAUAUUGAUUAAGGGUGUUGCAUGAUGCGCUAUUGAUGGUAAAUUAUGAAUGGACAUCUGGCUUUGAACAGCAACUGAGAUUAAACCAAAAAAUAACCAAUUAGCAGACGCUUUCUGAAGUUUUUGCAAAAUAGCACCCAAUACACACAAAUCAUGGGAUCACCAAAGUUAUUACAACUAAUCUUGAAGGUAACAUGGAUUCAUAAGUUCAUUAAAGCCUUAGUGAGCAGUGUAGGUGAGGUGGACUCAGCUGGUUAUCUUUGAGCAGCUAUUGUCACCGCACUAAAUGUUAGGGUUUAGGUGAAGGUUCGGACCCCAAAGCAGACAAGGAGAGGUUAGUGGUUGGAUAUGUGGACAAAAGUUUAUUGGCUGGCGAGGAUCCUGGCAACGGGGAGGACGAAGAGCCGGGCAGUGAUGCACACGAGCGUUCGUAGUUGACGGAAUAAUCUGGCGUCGACGUGAUGAGACGCCCAGGUUUAUAUGGAGGAGGAUGAUUGGAUGCAGGUGUGUCUCGUCCAGUCCAGUUGCCGCCAACAGCCAGCCACACCCCCUGCCGCACACAACACAGGAGAACACAGCCAAAACCCAAACAAACAGAAACACAAUCACCACACUAAACACACUAAAACUACAAGGAGGAUAUAUCUCACAAAUGAUAGUAAUUGAGUAUACUUUUCCCAAGAGCCACGCAAACUCAUAGACAGAUGAAGUCAGAAUUCAAAGCGUACAUUUUUUAAAUUACGGUUUCUUUUAAAUCUACACUUAGUGAUGGCUGAUUAACACAAGAGAUGACAGCAAAGGACCAGUGUGCGCGCAGCAAAACAACAGUCUUAGCUCUGAAGUAAAAACACACCAUCUAACCGCUACUCCAUCUUUGUCUCUCUCCCACACUCACCCAUUGUUUAUUCAAAUUUUGCAGAUGGGGUACUUUUUCCAGUUCAGCACCUUCACCGGUUUUGUGAGAGAGAAAGCGGCAUUAUGCAUGUGUUAUUAUGCAAUUCAUCACCAAUAAUAGAUUUGUUUACGGGGGCCCCCGUCUCUCACCCGCUCUCAGCACUGCAUUUUCAAAAUAAUAAUAAUAAUACAUAGUGUAUAAUGACGGUAAUGGUACGAAGGCUUUGAUAAUAGAUGUGCUGGGAGGGAUAAGGGAGCCCUGAUCAGCCUGGGUCUCAGCUCAAUUGUCUUCAAAGCACUGUUUAAUGUAGAAUAGGCAUCCAGGGAGAUUGUCUUUAAACCAAGAAAAAAGGUGGGUGUACGGAUAAGAGAAAUGAACGUACCGAUGGGAGUAUGAACCCGCGCGUACGCACACAUGCACACCUAAGCAGACGUACGCUACCAGCUCAAAAAAGCUCACACAACCACCCACUGGUGCGUCUCUCCUCAGAGGGAUCCCUGGUAUAAAUGUGUUAAAACUCUCCCUUGGUCUUUGGCUCUUGCUGUAUAAAUCUGUGUUUUAGUCUUCACUUUAGCACUUUAAACUCAGGGUAUUUCCAGCAUGUUUUCUCUGCCUCCCCCUGAGCUUUGACGGAGAUCUCAAGCAGCAGACGGAUAUAGCAGCACUAGUUUACAAGCAUGCGGUGGUACAUGUAAGUGAGUGUUUUAUUAUGUUCCCAAUAACAGGCACAAUUCAAGUAGUAAUACAAUUAUUUAACUUUCAUUAUCACCUUUCAUUAAUUCUUUUGAUAAUGAAAACACUGUCUUAGCACGAGCCUCCAAGCAUUACUGGGAAAGAAUGUGGUUAGGGUUACAAAAAGGAGACAAAAUAUAUACGACAGGCUAAACAAAACCCAAAAAUAAAUGGGCAAAUUCAAUUUCAUGAGUUGAAAACAAAUUGUGAAGAGGAUCAAGUGUCACAAGCGCUGGAGUGGCGUGGCCGAAAGCAGGACCCGGACGCAGAGUUUUAACAAGGUUGUUUUAAUAAUUCAAAAAAAAUCAAAAAAUGCUGAGGAGAAACAGGCAGACAAGACAGUGAGCAGGAACUUACACGAUAUGGGGAUGAGGUUCAGGGUAGACAUUCAAUGACGCGACAAGGGAUAAGAAACACACAUGGCUUAAAUACACUGGGAAGGUGAUUGGACAGAGGUGGAAACGAUCAUGGACACGGCAGACAAUCACAGGGGACAAGGCAUGAAGUGAAGUUAACCCAGGGACACCAGAGGCAUGAAACUACAAAAUAAAACCAGUUCUGGGGACCAAACUCUGCUGAGUCCUUGUAUGGUCGCGUCAAUCUGUCACAACGUUUAGGGUAGACAUUCAAUGACGCGACAAGGGAUAAGAAACACACAUGGCUUAAAUACACUGGGAAGGUGAUUGGACAGAGGUGGAAACGAUCAUGGACACGGCAGACAAUCACAGGGGACAAGGCAUGAAGUGAAGUUAACCCAGGGACACCAGAGGCAUGAAACUACAAAAUAAAACCAGUUCUGGGGACCAAACUCUGCUGAGUCCUUGUAUGGUCGCGUCAAUCUGUCACAACGUGUAGACAUCUUGAAUGUCUACCCGUUCACAACGGGUAGACAUUCAAGACUUGGAGACUGACAAUGACGCGACAAGGGAUUAGAGAAACACAUGCCUUAAGUACACUGGGAAGGUGCAGGUGAUUGGGCACAGGUGGAAACAAUCAUGGACACGGCAGACAAUCACAGGGAAUGACAAGGCAGGAAGUGAAGUUAAUCCAGGGACACCAAAGGCAUGAAACUACAAAAUAAAACGAGACGUGAACCCAAACCGUGACAUCAAGUUUGGAUAUGGACCUUUCAAUCACAAGGUUGCCACACGCUAAAGAAUGUGCUGCUUUAUUGUCCAUUGGCUAUAAAUGGACCCUCAUUUAUGAACACCAUGCUCUAUUGAAGAAUACAUGAAACUACUUAGUUUAAAAUUCUACUCGAGGACAAUGCCUAAUCUUAAUCAAUUGUCUGCCUCAACCAGGUAAGUAGAGCAGGUGAAGAGAUGAAAGGGGAUUCAGAAACACAGCUUGUACUUGAUGAGUUUUGUUUUUUGUCAGAUUUGAGUUGAUGGCAAUGCAUCCUGGCUGAAUUCAAUAAACCUUUAUGGGAACACUUAUUAUGCAAUUCUUUCCAUAUUCAAAAGCGUACGCUGCAAAGGAAUGACACGACAGUUGCAUAAAGACUGAAAGGUCUCUAAAAGCUACAUUCAGAAAAAUUAUUGAUCUUUAACCCACUAAAAUAGCUGUCUAUAAUAUUCAGGUGUCUUAUUGUGAUGAGACUGCAAACUGUUAAUACCAAACUCCAAAGCUCAAUACAGCUCUGGAGCCUGUUUUAGUUCAUCUCAGAUUUAGUGCGUGUGUAAGGGUUACAGGUAUUGGAACCCAAAAGCACAACUCUGAGACAGAAAUCCAAUCAAAGUUCUUUAAUUCAGGCAAGGUCAAAACCGGGAUAUCAGUCCAACGGGCAAUCAAAUCCAGAGAGGCAGGCAGGGAAUCCGUAAACAAGGAUAGGCGGUGGUCAGAACUAGGAUGGCAAUCAGACAAAUCCAAAAAAGGGGCAGGCACAGAGUUUGUGGUCAAAAGGCAGGCUAAGUCAGGAAGGGGUAUCAGGUAAUCGGAAAACGCUGGAAAACUUGGCAUACACACAAGACAAUCUGGCAGAGGGCAAGUGGAAGUGUGGGGACCUAAAUAGUGAGGGGCUAAUGAGGGAAUGGGCUGCAGGUGGGAAGGGCAUGAGGACCAGGUGAAGAGAAUGAGAGAAGAUCUGGUGUUGAUGACAGGAUUUGGAAUGACAGUAGAGUUAAUUGACAAGCAGGCAGGCCGGGAAAAAAGCUAAUAAGACGGAGAAUUCGUAACACUUACAUCAUCAAGACUAAGAUUUGUAUCCUGUCUUUCAAUGACAUCACCAUCGCUCUCUUUUCCUGUACAGAUAGUUCUGAAUCGUUCAAUGCCCCUCAACUCACUUGUGGACUGGCUUUUGUUGAAAAGACGGUAUACACUGGACUAGACCUCAUGGGACAUGUUCUUUCAAAGGGACAUGAAAGUCUUUUGAUUUAUGCAAAUAAUUCAUGGGAAUUUUAAGAGGUUCAAGUUGUAUUGUAUUUUGUACCAAAGACACAUCACAUUCCUUCAGAUAUCUUUCUUGCAACCUCUUGGGAGUAUCCUAAACCCCUUUCAGAACUAGUAAAAUGACAACUAAAACGAGAGGACAGGAACAACAUAAGACGCAGUAGGCAAAAAACAGUGGUCUGUGUCUCCCACACUUACACAAUGCUGACAAGUCAGAAUCAGCAAAAUUCCAACAACCACAUUGAAUGAUACGCCCUGAAUAUUACAACUGUCUCAUGUCCCAGGGUGACUCAGAGAUCAUGCGUGCCUUUUAGUAUGCACAUAACACACUUGUGGAAAGUGGAAGCACGCAAAAGUGCACAUAAGCAAACACACACACACACAUACACACUGUUGAGUUUGCCACACGUGAACUUUUACAGCCUCUGAGCUAUUCAUUUUACAAAUUUCAUAGCCUUUUAGAAUUUUUUCCUGUGAAGAAGAUUGCAGCCUGGUCUCAGAUGCAUUAUUGAAUUCCCUAUAAUAGAGAAUGGAGAAGAGAAAGAGUGUGACAGACAGAGAAAAAGCAUAACGAAAGAGAGGGACACCAUCAGAGGAACAAGUCUGUCUAGCCUGAUUGAGAAUUGGAGGCAACACAGGCCUAAACACAGGCCUCGUCUGGGUGAAGCAAAAUUGCCGCAUUUUGCACCUCCUUUUUCCCCUCUGCAACCAAUUUUCCUAUCGCUCCUUGAUUUAAUGAUGAUCUGUCGAUCAAUUACUGUGUGUUACCUAAUAGCUCGAAUAAAACAUUGUUGAAAAUCCUUGAUGAAUUGAAGUAAAUGGAAGGCAGGUUAGCAACAGCAACACUACGUCAAAACAUCCGUUCACAAACUUGCACAACUAGUAUUCCAUACGCACCUCUGUCAAAAUCGUACUGUUCAAAACACAUCCGCAACCCGUAUUUGUGCCACAAGUCCGACAUUAGUCAGGGGCGUGAUGUUUUCCAGCAGAUGCAUUUCUACUUCAUCUCAUGUAGUGUAGUCACAUUAGAAAUUGAUUUCCUCAUAACAAGAGACCAUUAAUUCUCUCAAUAUUAUUGUAUUACUUACUUUAUACUAUCCUUUAAAAUUAUACCUUGUUUAUAGUGGUUUACAUACAUCAGCAUACAGUACAUGUGUAAUUGUGCUUUCUCUGACUCGUUCUCUCUCUCUCUCCCUCCCUCCUUCUUUCCUUUUUUACACCAGUAGCACCUGGACUUGCACUAUUCAUCAUGCGGAUGACUCGUAACAUGAAUUAGUUUUUUUUUACAGUGGAAGAUGAGAGGACCAGAUGGCAUGGAAUAAAAAAGGGAGGAAAGCAUGGAAGAAGGGAGGAAAGAAGUUAUGGAAGGAGGGAUGUGGUUGAGGACAACAUAAUUCAGCGCCCCCCCCCCACUAUAUCAUCUUCUGCUCUUUACACACGGCCUUCUAUGUUAUCAUAGAGGACACAUGGUAGUGUCGGAUUAAGGUCUUGGAUUUUUUACGCCAUUACAAACAGCAUUAGAGCUUUUCACAUGACCUCCAUUGUAGUUUCUUUUACUUCAAAAAAGAAAAUUGUGAAACUCUAAUUAGUCUGUAUAAUUGAGUCCGGAUGAAGCGCUGCCAAUCGGAGCCGGUCUCAUGCAAGGUGGAGAGGUUUUGUUCACUGACUGUCUUUUCAUGGCGGCCCGGCCUCUCUCUUUUUCCCCCCGUCUCUCCGCGUCUUUCCCAGCACUCCCAUAGUUUUGUGGUUAUCUCUUUUUUUAGAAUAGUAGAGAAGAGGCUCUGCUUGAGAAGGCCAGGAGGAGAGGUUUGCAUUAUUGGAGCAUCAAUUGCGGCCAAUUAGACCUGUGUGAAUGCACACUCUCUGUACCUGCUUCAUGCUGUUGGGUUGUAGGAGACCAGCACUGGGUUUCAACCACCACCAGCCGUCGCAAUCUCAACAUCUUCUUGUUUUCAUUGCAUACCAAAGUAACACUCUCUGCAUUCUCUAGGUUUUUGCUUAGCUACUGCAUCUGUUCUCAUCUUCAGUGAGCUGAAUGGAAAACGGGUAAUUUUCUUCCCAAUCCUGUUGUGUUACGCCAAGCAGAAACAGUCAAGGCUGCACCAUAGUAAUGGAUGUGGCAGUAGACCUGACAAAAAGGAACCUUCCAAAUGAUGCUAAUACCAACAUACUCCGACAGGGGAUCUCCUCCCGCUCCAUGCCAUCUAAGAAAGAAAUUGUACAGAUUAUGCAUCCCAGCUGCUAGGUUAAGUUAAGUCAAAUUGAGAAGCUGCAUAAAACAUUACAUGAAAGUUGGUGUUGUGUUCUAAAAAUGAAGCAACCUCUUGGAUUGAAAAGUAAAAAUCAAAAGUAUUUAAUAAAAGAAAAGGUGUUGUGCUAAAAACAACAUAUCAGCUCUCUGUAAUAAACAGGCAACAGGGCAGCCCAUUCACCACCCAUAGUGACUGUCUCUUGCCUCCACCAACGAACUUCGAGAACAAUGGGUGCCUACAGGUAUUUAUACAGUUCAGUCAAGAGCUGUGUCUCAAAGUCGACCGCAUACGUAUCUUCCGCUGCGACUCAGCUGCGACUUGCCUGUCCCAAUUCGUGGGCUCCUCAGAACGCGGUCGUGGGACACAGCCCUCCAGGAGGCAAUUUGGAGGACACAUCUGAUCUAUCCUUUGCGGCCAAGCAUAUGUCAGCAUGCAGUGCGGUCCGACGAGGAUUUCAUUUAUUCAGGACGGAGACGGGUGAUCCGACUGCGCGGGACAGUUUACUUGUAAAUGUAACUGUAAAGUAAUAAAAUUGUCUUGAAUAUCUACAAAUAUAAUUUAUAUAUAUAUAUAUAUAUAUAUAUAUAUAUAUAUUAUAAUAUAUAAAAUCACAUUUUAGUUUAUGAAAUCGAUAGAAUAAACUGCUCUUUGUCAUAACGUUAACCCCCCCGAUACAGUUUCUGACCCAGGCUCUCACCUGAACCCCCCCCCCCCCCCUUGGUCCAUGUACUGCUCUUAUGAAUAUCAAUGUACUAACACACAUUAAUGACAAAUACACAACGAGCAGCUCGUUACCGGAAGCCACUGCGCUGUUAACGGCAGCUCGUCUCCCUGCAUCCACCCGUAGUUAUUAGUGAAAAGUCACUUUGAUGGCUUAACUUUAAAGGCUGAUUAAUAUUUUGUGGGGGCUGAGACGGUUUAUAAUUCACAUUAUGAACAGAAAUGGAUCAAAGUGAGCUCAGGUAGACAAGUUGUGAAAUAUCACUUUCAGUCAGUAACGUUACAGAAUAUAUACACAAAGAAAUUAAACUUCCUUUGUUCGGUUGGGAACGGCCUUACGCGGGGCACCAUUUUGUUGGGCACGACAUAGGGGUAAUCCAUCCAUCCAUCCAUUUUCAACCGCUUAUCCGGCGUCGGGUCGCGGGGGCAACAGCUCCAGCAGGGGACCCCAAACUUCCCUUUCCCGGGCCACAUCUACCAGCUCCCAAGGCGUUCCCAGGCCAGUGCAGAGAUAUAAUCUCUCCACCUAGUCCUAGGUCUUCCCCGGGGCCUCUUCCCAGCUGGCCGUGCCUGAAACACCUCCCUAGCGAGGCGCCCAGGGGGCAUCCUUGCCAGAUGCCCAAACCACCUCAACUGGCUCCUUUCGACGCAAAGGAGCAGCGGCUCUACUCCGAGCUCCUCGCGAAUGGCUGAGCUUCUCACCCUAUCCCUAAGGGAGACGCCAGCCACUCUCCUGAGGAAACCCAUUUCGGCCGCUUGUACCCGUGACCCAGUUCUUUCGGUCAUGACCCAUCCUUCAUGACCAUAGGUGAGGGUAGGAACGAAGAUUGACUGGUAGAUCGAGAGCUUUGCCUUGCGGCUCAGCUCUCUUUUCGUCACAACGGUGCGGUAAAGCGAGUGCAAUACCGCCCCCGCUGCUCUGAUUCUCCGGCCAAACUCACACUCCAUCUUCCCCUCACUCGUGAACAAGACCCCGAGGUACUUGAACUCCUUCACUUGGGGUAAGGCACCCUCCUCUCCAGAUCCUGCCCCGCUAGCUCGGGAGUCGCCCGUGCCCUCUCCGCAUCCCUAUGAUGGAACGCUGGCGAAGUGCCGGGGAUUCCUCUUUCAAUGCCGGCAGGUUUUUGACAGCCAGCCUCUAACCUUUGCAUUGGGCCAGUCCAAGGUUUCCAAUGUGGUCAGAUUACUCCGUCGAAGGGCUGUGGCAAUAAGAUGUUUGGCAGCCACUGUCAUGCUAUCAAUGAUGAUGGUUACGAGACCAGUGCCUCCCUGUUACAUUAACUUCAAGACCUAUGGGCCUAAUCUCAAUUAAAUUUCUGAGGAAUCUGUGAUUCACUUCUCCUGUCACUGGCCUGUCAUUCAACAGUGCUUUUUAUUUUUGGACUAGAUGCAAAUUUCGGAAAUUGCUCAGGGAUUCAAGCAAAGCGAGGAUAGGGAGAAGAGAGAUGGAGGAAAAACGAGAAGAUGAAAACUUCAAGGAAAUUACUGUCGGGAGGUUGAGUCUGUUUGCUGCACACCAAAGGGGGUUAAGACAGGGUUUGGCUUGCAAAGACAAGCCAACAGAGACACAAAACGCUAAAUCUAAAGUUUCUCCAGCAUUGUUUAGACUCCUAACAAGGGGGACUGUGAACAACAAGGAACAUCAUUUGGAUUUCCCUCCCCACUUCCUCUGUUUUCCUUUUCCAUGUACCCAAGCACAUAAAUAGCUAUCUUAACAACUUGCUGCUAUUUUGAAUAGGGGCUGCAUCUCCCUGUGGAUUUCCAUGAGUGAGGCAAUUUGCUGGCGAACAGGUGCAUUUUUAAUGCUUUCAUACAAUUAAAACAGGAUCUACCUUCCUUCUUCCUUCCUUGUUUUCAGAGGCGCCCUCCUUUCAUACUUAGGUGGAAUUGAUUUAGUUUGUCUAAUUAAACUCAGAAUAAGAUGUUAAUUACCUAACAAGGUCACCUCUCUCUACCACCAAAUUCACCAUUGGUGUUCUUUCUUCAACAGUAUUUUCGUCAAGGAUUCAAAGGGAAAGUAGAAGAAUGGUGUUAAUUGCCUAUAUGCCGUGUCCCAAUUUUAAAUUUCAACGUCUUUUUUCCCCCCCAGAACUUUCUCUUUCCUGGGUCUUUUUAGGCUGUGAGAAAAUAGGGAUUUAUUGUGCCAUUGUUCUUUUCUCUCUUGUCCUCCAGUCAGAAAAGAUGCGUCAACUCAUCACAAUAUGGCCUUUGUCUACAUUUACCAAGUUUCCAUUCCCAGAGUGGGGGGAGAGUGAAGGACUGCUUGCGACAAUGGUGUGUUAAGAUGGAGCAUGGAUCAGCUGUACACGGAUUUUCCCUCUCCGUAGGCCGAUUUUCACCUUGUAUUACACGUUUGCUCAAGCAGGCAUGCUGUUUGGUACAAGACCAGUAUUAGAACAAAGUUUUACCAAAACUUACAAAACAAACUCACCACUACGUUGACCAUAACACAGAUUAUUGAACAUAUAAAACACAGGCCGAAUACAAACUGAAAAAAGCUUAUUCAAGGAUGCCAAAAAAUAAAGGAUGAAAAGGAUUAAUUAAAAAGAUAAAUACCCAACUAAUCCAAAAACGGAUGCACAGUAGAUUAAAACUGUAAAUCCAUAAAAAAAUGAAUUGAAUGAUCACAAUGAAACUUAAUACAACGUUUGAAAAACACUUAGCUAGAUUCUUCCGUCUUCAAAGCAAAUAAUGGCCUUUAAAUUUGGCAUGAGACAUCUAUUCAAAACUGGCUCUUUUUCCUUUCUCAGUUUCCCCUUUAGGAAUAUCUACCUUUCACUGGUCAUGUAAAAUGCCAAACGUUGACUGCUGUUACCUUGAAGUUGUUAUAUAUUCUGUUCUUUCUAGCAAACACAGGCAACGUUCUCAUGAGAAGACGGCACGCCACUUUGAAGGACAUUUUGUGUGUCAACUUUUUGGUGUCAUUCCCGACUAUUGUUAUGAAUUCAAGCAGCAAAACUGCUUGAUUAUGUUUAUAAAGAUGUUUGAUUUUUUGAUGAUCCUUGAAUAAAGAGUUAACUUAAGACUAAAUUAAUCUUGACUAUAAAAAAUGUAAUUUCAACAGCAUGCCCAGGCUAGCUCCAAGUUCCACCAAUCUGGCUGUUACAUGUUAAUAUUUUGGGUAAUCUUAGCAAUUUACUAACAAACACAAAAAACAAUUUUCCAUAAAACACAGUCCUACACCAUUUGUUUGCAAUCUCAUUGCUUGUGGUUAGUGUACCUUUUUUGAUCUUUACACAAUUCUGGUUGAUUUUCACUUCUGUACCAAAUUGGCCAACAUGUGAGGUGGUGGUAACAUGAGCUCUCCAAUAUCCCAAUGUUGGGCCUAUAAUCCUCUCAUUACAUUACAUUACAUAUAAUCUAGCUGAUACUUUUAUCUAAAGCGACUUACAAUAUGUGCAUUUCAACCAUAAGGAUACAAACUCAAAAGAACAAGAAACAUCUUUAAACAAUUUACAACUAACUUUGUUAGUGUUUUUAGUCAAAGUGUAGUCUGAAGAGGUGUGUCUUUAGUUUGUGGCUAAAGAUGUAAAGGCUCUCUGCGGUCCUGAUGCCAUCAGAGAGCUCAUUCCACCAUUUCGGAGCAAGGACAGCAAAGAGUCGUGAUCUAGUAAAGUGUUUUGCUCUCAGUGAGGAAGGAACAAGCAGAGCGGAGUGUGUGGGUUGGGAUGUAGGGUUUGACCAUGUCCUGGAUCUAGACUGGACCCGAUCCAUUCACCGCACGGUACGUGAGUACCAAUGUUUUGAACUGGAUGCGGGUAGCCAGUGAAGAGAGCGGAGGAGUGGAGUGGAGUAGUGUGGGAGAAUUGCAGACGGUUAAAGACUUAGUCGAGCUGCUGCAUUUUGGAUGAGCUGCAGAGGUCGGAUGGCGGUAGCAGGGAGACCUUCCAGGAGAGAGUCAGUACCUGCGGCACCAUCCAAGUGAGAAAGGAACGUCUUCCCCUGAUGUUGUACAGCGUGUAUCGACAGGAUUGUAUUGUUGCUGUAAUGUUGGGAGAGUUGGCUGUCAAGUGUCACACCAAGGUUCCUGGCAGUCGCAGUCUGGUCACAGUCAGGUCCUGUGUAAGAGAAUCUUUCACUGGAAAGAGGAAGUAGUUCUCGGGGUUGAUUUUCAGAUGGUGAAUGGACAUCCACUGAGAGAUCUGAGUGUCCGGGUGACCGAAGGAGAGAAAUAGUUGGGUGUCAUGGGCAUAGCUGCGGUAGGAGAAGCCAUGCGAGCAAAUAACAGAGCCGGUUUAGAGAAGGAGGAUCUGGUGGUUUACUGUGUCAAAUGCAGCAGAAAGGUCCAGAAGGAUGAGGACAGAGGAGAGAGAGAGGCGACUUAAUCAGUGUGGAGUUGCUCUGAUUAAUCAAUUUUAGAUUGGUAGUGUGAUGGCCCCUGUCGCUGAUUACGGCCAGUGUGCUUUUUGUCUCCACAGAGCAGAUUGCCAAAUGGAGAGCACCUGGUCUGAGAAAAGGGCGGGGCAUAAAAGCCCUCCUCCAGCGUGAGCCUGGGGCAUUUUUCCUCUCUGACAUGGUUCACGACUACUACUUAUUGUGAAAUGCGAAUAAAAUCGUUCUUACAUCCACCGCAGUGUCUUUGCCGCAUUUGUCGCAACUUACGAGCCAGGUUGUGACAGUACAAAGAGCUUUUGGCAGCAGAGAAAGAUGAGAGAAUUGAGACACAAGCAAGUCGUCCGGUUGUGUUAUAUUUACAUUUCCUUUCCAAUGCUCGCAUGGCAUUGACCGGUUCUGACAGCCACGGAGCCGGAGGGUUUUUGCCGGCCUGUCGUGUCGUAAGAGGACAGAGAGAGUUGAGAGCGGAGGAGAGUUUCCCGCGGCAGCGUUCAAAUGUAAGAGUGAGAAAGAGUCAGUUGAGGGCAGAGCACUGCUAGAACAGAAGAGUCCAAAGAGGAGGGAGAGAAUUUUGCGACAAACCUGUAGAGUUAGUUGAUGGGGUGGGAUCAUUAGAGAGCAGAAGAGAGUGUGAGAUGAAGAAGUGGAGUUAGAGGUAGAGCAGGUUUGAUUGUUCUCUUUAAUCAAAUCAGUAAGGUGCCAUAUCCACUGCCAUGAAUCACGUUUUAAUUGGCCAGCCUUUUUUAUAAAAAAUCCCUGCAAAUCCACUAAUACAUUUCUUUGAUGUUUUGUGCUAAAAUCUGUUAUCACUCAAUAUCCAACAAAAUGAAAUAACAUGCAUCAGUAUACAGUACUAGAACAAAGAAAUUCAAAUAUGUUCAUUCUUUACUUAACUUAUGUAGAUUCAGUUGUACAACAUUAAGUUACAUAAGUUUACUGUUGGAGGAAAAGGAAAUGUAUUCAAAUGUACUAAACAAAACUUUUUUUUAGUAGUGUUAACAAACGCAGGCUGCCGAUUUUAAAUGUCUGACCCAAAAAAGCAAAUUUUUUUUUUUUUUACCAUCAGACUUUUCCCUGCACAGUUUGAAGAAUGCCAAGGGGUCCCAGGGCCACUGGUAAGUGCGGGAUAAUUGAUGGAUGAAUGGAUUUUGUUGAAUCAGAUACAAAUUAAUUUACUUUGAACAUGGGGGCAGUCCUACCUGAAAGGCAGGGGAGGAGAUGAGAUGGGGAGCGACUGGAGAAAGCCGCAGGGCAAGAAGAGCGGAGACGUUCAGGGGCAACGGGCAAAGGAGGACUGGGAGGUGAGCGGGAGUUAAAUUAGGUGUGUAAUGUUAGGGUUGAUAUGAAGUGACUGAGUGUGGUGUGCUGUCAAUAAUUCGCCCUGCUCUUCGACAAUUCUUCUUCCUCCACUGACACUAAGAAACACCUUCUCCUCCUUAUUCUCCCAAAGAGAUUUCUUCCACCAGAAAUAGAUUUUGUGGUCCCUGAGUUCCACUUCUUUUCUAUCCAAGACAUUGAGAGAGAAAUACAGUUUCCUUUCAUCAGAGAGAUAUCACAUUAACAGCCUUAUAGCUUCAGAAAGUAUAAAUUUUAUUGGUAGUCUACU